Molecule: long non-coding RNA, 1880 nt
Filed under: Homo sapiens (human)
Lineage: Eukaryota; Metazoa; Chordata; Mammalia; Primates; Hominidae
Description: HSALNT0204870
Source: RNAcentral
CCAGAAUACAACAUAAGGCAGAGUAAGGAAUAAUUCACUCUCUGAAUGACUGUUUUCAAGCUGGGACAUGGGUCUCCUGCCUUCAGACUUGGUCUCAGAUAGAACUUAACCUUCAAUUCUUCUGGUUUUUGGACUGAGAAUAGGAUUGGGGCUUAAACCAUCAGCUUUCCUGGUUCUCGGGUCUUUGGAUCCUGAUUGGAAUGAUAUCAUUGGCUUUCCAGAGUCUUUAGCUUGCUGACUGCAUAUCUUGGAACUUCUCAGCUUUCAUAAUCAAUUACAGUUGAAUAUGAGGAGAUUGCAAGAGGACAACUCGGCUCUAAAAUCGAUGCAUUAACAUGUCAUUGGAAUUGACCUUGCCAAAAGAUGCCUCCCUAAAUCCACAAGAAUCUCCUUGUUUGAACACAGUUUCUAAUCCAGCUGUAAUGAAGACAGACAACAGUCAAAUUAACAACUGAUCAGGAGGAGAAGUUCAUACUCCUUGAGCUGGAUCUAUCUGCACAUGCACCUGGCCCAGGAAGCUGAAAUGGGAGAUCUGAUGAGCAGUGGAGGACUGAACCAAAGCCCUUGGCUUUUGCUCCAUACCAGUCAGGAGAUUCAUAGGUCUACAUAAGAACAUUCCCAGAUCAACCGUGAACUCAUAGUUAAAAGCCAGUUCUUUCUUCAGGGUAUUCAACCUAGUUGAGGAUGCAGGACACGUUUUUAAGCAAUUAACAACACUAAUAACAACAUGAAGAACGUUCAAACUGCCAGAUGAAAAGCAUAACCGCCGUUCUGGACAUACACAUGGGCAGAAGAUGUAGCCGCCUUGUGUGAAAAUUUGAGAGCUCUCUACUCCAUCUUCCGCUAGUAUAACCCUCAUUGGCUGGAAUCAUAAUGGUAUCUGCAUCUGGAACUGGCCACUAGUAUAACACCUACAAAAUGCACAACGGCCUUCAGACCAUAUGAAAAGUCUACAGGGUGAGAAUCUGAAAAUCCAGCAAUGAGGAGAAAAAAGUUAUCUCCCAUUAAGAACACUUUCCAGAAGCUACACAAUUCCAGUUAUUGAUUCAUCCCAUUUACUAGAACCUGUUCAUCUGGCUAUGCCCAAAACCAAGGGAAACUGAAAUAGUGGUUACCAUAUUCUGUAACUCAGCCUAGCCUAGCUUCAGAAGUUUUAAUAAAGAAAAUAAAAUGUAUUGAAAUAUUUUUAUAAUAUCUAUUCAUUUCAAAAUACAUUUUUUGUUUCAGCUCAAUCUUCCAUUUUAAUAUUCUAUCACACUCCUUCAUAUAAGUUCAGAUGUAUUUUAACUUCUUUCUGAGGGACAUUGUUUCCUAUAAUCAAAGCAGUUCAACUAUCUGCUAAGUCAGUGCUUUCCUAUUAUAAGCUAUUUUGAUUACAAUCAACCUGUGCAGAACAAUAGGAUGCUUUAGCAAUGACUAAACACCAAUGAAUACUUCCUUAGCUUUACAUAAUGAGCAAAGGAAGUAUGGCCCCAUAGUCUCAUCUCAGUUUCCUUAAGUCACUAUCAAUUCAGGUGUAAAAUACAGAAAACACUUACAUUGAAAUUUUUGAUUCCUCCAAAUGGAAGAUAAAUUAUACAGCAUUGUUGAGUUGUAAUCUCCAAAACCAAAAUUUCUGUGUUUUCCACAUAAGCAACCCAAACUGAGAGUUGCAUAACAGCCCAAGAACUAAACAUUGACACCAGCCUCAAAAACAGACCAUUGAUUAUCACAACAAAAACUUCAAAAUGCACCGGGGCCUCGUGGGCACAGGAGGUCUUUCAGGGAGUGAGCAUCAUUGUGAUAGGAUGGAAAUGCUAAGAUGUUUCUCUAUUCUAUUAAUAUAUUCUGUAUUCUAGCAAUAUAGAAUAUAAUACGUAGAAUAUAGUAUAUAUAAUUAG